This 781-nucleotide ribosomal RNA is filed under the name uncultured Actinomycetes bacterium. RNAcentral describes it as "bacterial SSU rRNA". It matches the Rfam family "Bacterial small subunit ribosomal RNA", at positions 28 to 825 of the family's 1533-position model. The record is from RNAcentral. Lineage: Bacteria; Bacillati; Actinomycetota; Actinomycetes.
GACGAACGCUGGCGGCGUGCUUAACACAUGCAAGUCGAGCGGAAAGGCCCUUCGGGGUACUCGAGCGGCGAACGGGUGAGUAACACGUGAGCAACCUGCCCUUGGCUUUGGGAUAAGCCCCGGAAACGGGGUCUAAUACCGGAUAUCCACUUGCUGUCGCAUGGUGGUUGGUGGAAAGUUUUUCGGCCAGGGAUGGGCUCGCGGCCUAUCAGCUUGUUGGUGGGGUGAUGGCCUACCAAGGCGACGACGGGUAGCCGGCCUGAGAGGGCGACCGGCCACACUGGGACUGAGACACGGCCCAGACUCCUACGGGAGGCAGCAGUGGGGAAUAUUGCACAAUGGGCGAAAGCCUGAUGCAGCGACGCCGCGUGAGGGAUGACGGCCUUCGGGUUGUAAACCUCUUUCAGCAGGGACGAAGCGAGAGUGACGGUACCUGCAGAAGAAGCGCCGGCCAACUACGUGCCAGCAGCCGCGGUAAGACGUAGGGCGCGAGCGUUGUCCGGAUUUAUUGGGCGUAAAGAGCUCGUAGGCGGCUUGUCGCGUCGACUGUGAAAACCCGUGGCUCAACCAUGUGGUCUGCAGUCGAUACGGGCAGGCUAGAAUUCGGUAGGGGAGACUGGAAUUCCUGGUGUAGCGGUGAAAUGCGCAGAUAUCAGGAGGAACACCGGUGGCGAAGGCGGGUCUCUGGGCCGAUAUUGACGCUGAGGAGCGAAAGCGUGGGGAGCGAACAGGAUUAGAUACCCUGGUAGUCCACGCUGUAAACGUUGGGCGCUAGGUGUGG